AUGCUAAACCAGCUGGAUUCGAGCCGCACCUGCAUUCGCCCCUCGGGCAGCUGCUUCCGGUCGAGGCGACCCACGCCACGCUCGAGGAAUCCUCUCCAGCCAAAAUGGCGCCAGGCUCUGAUGCUCCAUGGUAACCACGCUACUCACGACGGCGGCCUGCUCAUCUCACCUGCCCGCUCCUGCAUCCGGGGUCGGGCGCCCUGCGGGUGUUCGGUGAAAUGCCCCACCAGGGAGAUUGCGCCGCUGGCGUCCGAUACCCCCCCUGGAUUCAAGGUGUGUUUCCUCUCGAUCAGUGAUUACUAA
RNAcentral lists this ribosomal RNA (303 nucleotides) under Triticum aestivum (bread wheat). RNAcentral's name for it is "partial small subunit ribosomal RNA". Lineage: Eukaryota; Viridiplantae; Streptophyta; Magnoliopsida; Poales; Poaceae. The record is from RNAcentral.